GAAAUAAGUAAUUCAAGAAUAAGCUUCUAACUUAAUUCUUUAGCGAUGAGAUUCGUUAUUAUUUCU
RNAcentral lists this transfer RNA (66 nucleotides) under Hesperus amabilis. Its description in RNAcentral is "tRNA-Ser". Lineage: Eukaryota; Metazoa; Arthropoda; Insecta; Coleoptera; Staphylinidae. The record is from RNAcentral.